This 27-nucleotide small RNA is filed under the name Bombyx mori (domestic silkworm). RNAcentral describes it as "ovarian small RNA-26386". The record is from RNAcentral. Lineage: Eukaryota; Metazoa; Arthropoda; Insecta; Lepidoptera; Bombycidae.
UCAUUUAAUGUCAGACCAGCUUUCGAA